UUUGUUUUAGUACGUAGGCACAAUUCCAAUAGGGCUUAUGAAUCGUUCAUCCCACCUACGGACCACCAUCCCACCUACGGUGGUAUCUUUAGAAGAUUUUAAUU
This is a regulatory RNA element of Drosophila sechellia, 104 nucleotides long. It matches the Rfam family "R2 RNA element", at positions 93 to 201 of the family's 212-position model. From Rfam's summary of the family: This family represents the 3' UTR region of the R2 retrotransposable element. This family is known to interact with the R2-encoded reverse transcriptase in a reaction known as target primed reverse transcription (TPRT). The record is from Rfam. Lineage: Eukaryota; Metazoa; Arthropoda; Insecta; Diptera; Drosophilidae.